UCCGGUGAUUCUAUCGGCAGGGUCACACCCGUUCCCAUCCCGAACACGGUAGUUAAGCCUGCUUGAGCCGAUGAUACUGCACCUUUCAGGUGUGGGAAAGUAGGUAGUCGCCGGAU
RNAcentral lists this ribosomal RNA (116 nucleotides) under Acidobacteriota bacterium. Lineage: Bacteria; Pseudomonadati; Acidobacteriota. The record is from RNAcentral.